Molecule: RNA transcript, 1585 nt
Organism: Hemiscyllium ocellatum (epaulette shark)
Lineage: Eukaryota; Metazoa; Chordata; Chondrichthyes; Orectolobiformes; Hemiscylliidae
Gene name: phospholipid phosphatase-related protein type 5-like
Exons: 7
Source: RefSeq, a predicted model, not a curated record
AGAAGAGGGGACCCUUUGAUCUUUGAUUUUGCUAUUCAGCAACCUCUCCCUCUCAUUACCCAGCCUCCUACCCCCACAACCAUGCUCUAUUUCCAGUUGGUCAUAAUGGCAGGCACUGUCAUGCUGGCUUAUUACUUCGAAUACACCGACACUUUCAACGUCCACGUCCAGGGAUUUUUCUGCCAUGACGGCUCCUACAAUAAGCCGUACCCUGGACCCGAUGAAAGCAGUGCCAUUCCUCCAGCUCUACUCUAUUCUCUCGUAGCCGGUGUACCCCCUGUCAUGAUAAUCGUGGGAGAAGUGGCUGUAUUUUUCCUUCAAUCAGUUACUAAGGAGUUUGGAAAUCGCGAGAAGACCAUAGUAACUGGAGAUUGUUGCUACAUCAAUCCACUCGUGCGCAGAACAGUUAGGUUUCUUGGAGUUUAUGCAUUUGGACUUUUUGCCACUGAUAUAUUUGUAAAUGCUGGACAAGUGGUGACAGGAAAUCUAGCCCCCCAUUUUCUCACAGUCUGUAAACCUAAUUAUACAGCACUGGGCUGUCAGCAUGAAUCUGUGCAAUUCAUCAACAGCGAAGAAGCCUGCACUGGCAACAUAGAUGCCGUUACAAAAGCCAGAAAAAGCUUUCCAUCCAAAGAGGCAGCAUUAAGUGUGUAUGCAGCCGUCUAUCUGGCAAUGUAUAUCACAUGUACUGUGAAAGCCAAUGGGACAAGGCUUGCAAAACCUCUCCUCUGUUUGGGCCUCAUGUGUUUGGCAUUUCUGACUGGAAUAAACAGGGUGGCAGAAUAUCGAAACCACUGGUCAGAUGUUGUAGCAGGAUUCAUCAUAGGAACAGCUGUAGGAGUGUUCUUGGUUGCAUGUGUGGUACAUAACUUUAAGGGAAGAAAUACGAUAAAUGAAAAACUACAGCCUGCCAACGUGAUGGAGAUCCCUUUGAUCACUCUACCACAUGUGGAAAGUCCAUUAGGAAAAUUAAGUGCUGUACAGUCAUUUAAGAUACUGACAUCGCAAGACCAGCAUUUAUUACCCAUCCCUAGUUGAUACUGAGAAGGUGAUGGUGGAUCUUCUUGAAUUGCUCCAGUCCAUUUGGUGAAGGUGUUCCAACAGUGCUGUUAGGUAUCGAGUUCCAGGAUUGUGACCCAACAACAAUGAAGGAAUGAUGAUAAAUUCUGAUGUCGGGAUGUGUGUAACUUGAAGAUGAUGGUGUUACCAUGCAUCAUUUGCCAUUGUUCUUCGAAGUCAUGGAGGUCACAGUUCAGGAAGCGCUGUUGAAGAAACCUUGGCAAGUUGUGUUGCAAAAUCAUUCCUUUGCAGAAGUCACAUGAUCUUCUAAACACAAGCUUGGUCUGCACAUUGGGCAUCUUCAUUAUUUACCUUUCAGUGGUCACAUUUGGGAUGAAAUCCAAGAUACAGUCUCACUUAGUAUGACACAUUCACCAUACUGGUUAUUCGUUCACAAGAUAAAAGUGAUUUUGGUAGCUAAACAGGACAUUUGUAAUAAUUGAAGCACAUUGCAUCAUAUUGAAGGGACAGAAAGUGUACAUUUGGCGUUUUCUGUGUCUCUCUUUUUCCUUGCACAGAUUAAUGU